Molecule: ribosomal RNA, 498 nt
Filed under: uncultured bacterium
Lineage: Bacteria
Description: partial 16S ribosomal RNA
Rfam family: Bacterial small subunit ribosomal RNA
Source: RNAcentral
AUUGAACGCUGGCGGCAUGCCUUACACAUGCAAGUCGAACGGUAACAGGUCUUCGGAUGCUGACGAGUGGCGAACGGGUGAGUAAUACAUCGGAACGUGCCUAGUAGUGGGGGAUAACUACUCGAAAGAGUGGCUAAUAUCGCAUGAGAUCUACGGGUGAAAGCAGGGGAUCGCAAGACCUUGUGCUACUAGAGCGGCCGAUGGCAGAUUAGGUAGUUGGUGGGAUAAAAGCUUACCAAGCCGACGAUCUGUAGCUGGUCUGAGAGGACGAUCAGCCACACUGGGACUGAGACACGGCCCAGACUCCUACGGGAGGCAGCAGUGGGGAAUUUUGGACAAGGGGCGCAAGCCUGAUCCAGCAAUGCCGCGUGCAGGAUGAAGGCCUUCGGGUUGUAAACUGCUUUUGUACGGAACGAAAAGCCCUGGGUUAAUACCCUGGGGUCAUGACGGUACCGUAAGAAUAAGCACCGGCUAACUACGUGCCAGCAGCCGCCGUAA